UACGUAGGGGGCUAGCGUUGUCCGGAAUUAUUGGGCGUAAAGAGCGUGUAGGCGGCCAGGUAGGUCUGCUGUGAAAACUCGAGGCUCAACCUCGAGACGUCGGCGGAAACCAUCUGGCUAGAGUCCGGAAGAGGAGAGUGGAAUUCCUGGUGUAGCGGUGAAAUGCGCAGAUAUCAGGAAGAACACCCGUGGCGAAGGCGGCUCUCUGGGACGGUACUGACGCUGAGACGCGAAAGCGUGGGGAGCGAACAGG
RNAcentral lists this ribosomal RNA (253 nucleotides) under uncultured bacterium. RNAcentral describes it as "partial 16S ribosomal RNA". It matches the Rfam family "Bacterial small subunit ribosomal RNA", at positions 524 to 776 of the family's 1533-position model. The record is from RNAcentral.